This 2403-nucleotide unclassified non-coding RNA is filed under the name Anthonomus grandis grandis. RNAcentral describes it as "matrix metalloproteinase-14". The record is from RNAcentral. Lineage: Eukaryota; Metazoa; Arthropoda; Insecta; Coleoptera; Curculionidae.
CCAUCUCACUCUCCCCUUUCCCCCCCUUACUUUCGUUCUCUGUAUCUCUUUUGUUUUUUUUUUAUUAAAUCAGAUUUUUAGAUAAUGCGUGAGCAGUGACCCCCCGAACGGAAGUAAAAGCAGCAGCAUAACUGGUAUCGCACGUUGCGCAACUUUGAUCGCGUUUAUAUAGUUUAUGUAUCGCGAUUUUUUGGAAAAAAAAACAACGUGACAAAUACUAUAGAGAUAAGAGAUAAGAGAUAAAAGUUGUAAGGGAAAAAAAUUGAAAUUGUUAGUAAUACAAUGGAUUCGGUAGGGCGUGCGGUGGUUCGCGCGACUUUUGUUUGUUUUUUGGCUCUUUUUGUGGGAAUCGAUGCCGCUGAAGGAAAUAGUGCCAUGCUCUAUCUGUCCCAGUUCGGUUACUUGGGCCCAGUGAAAGCCAAUUCCAGUCAAUUGUUGGACGAGAGUAGCUUUAAGAAAGCGGUGGAGGAUUUUCAGAAUUUUGCCGGAUUAGAUGUCACAGGCGAAUUGGACGAUAAGACUUUGGAAACUAUGGCCUUACCCAGAUGCGGUGUAAAAGACAAGGUGGGCACGGGGGACAAUAGGGCCAAAAGAUACGCCCUUCAAGGCAGCAGAUGGAAAGUGAAAAACUUGAGCUACAAAAUUUCAAAAUACCCGCCGAAACUGAAGAGGAAAGACGUGGACGAGGAGGUGCAACGAGCGUUCAACGUAUGGACCGACUAUACCGAUCUCACUUUCACCCCCAAAACCGGACAGGUCCACAUCGAGAUCCGUUUCGAGAGUGGGGAGCAUGGAGACGGCGAUCCCUUCGAUGGACCGGGAGGCACUUUGGCCCACGCCUAUUUUCCUCCACCCGAUCAGUAUCAGCACUCACACUUAACCUCCUCACCACCACUCACACACCAAUACCCGUGGUACACUCACACCACCAGACAUCAGAAUCACCUCACCGGUUUGGGUAUGUCACACGCAUACGUCAAUCCCUGGCUUACCUUCGGGAAUCCCUGGUUCACGGUUGGUCGGGUUAAUCCCGGUUACACGCCAUAUACGCCGCAACUGCCUGGGAAAGUUUUCGGUGGCGACGCCCAUUUUGACGCAUCCGAAAGCUGGACGAUCGACAGCUACAGAGGUACAAACCUGUUCCAAGUGGCAGCCCACGAGUUCGGACACUCACUGGGUCUGAGCCACAGUGACGUGAGGAGUGCCCUUAUGGCGCCGUUUUAUAGAGGCUACAAUCCGGCUUUCACCCUGGAUCAGGACGACGUGGACGGGAUCCAGGCUUUGUACGGUAAAAAGACCACCAAGAAUACCCCCUCGGUGGAUUCUGAUGAUGCCGGCGACGAGAGUCACGACGUGCCGAAGAAAGUGCCCGGGCCAGAUAGUGGAUCUGCUCCGGACGCUUCCCUAUGCAAGGAUCCGUCUUUCGAUACGAUUUUCAACUCUGCCGAGGGAUACACGUACAUUUUUAAAGGGGAUAAGUACUGGAGGCUUACCGAGGAAAGUGUGGCGCCUGGGUAUCCCAAGUUGAUUUCGGAGGGAUGGCCUGGACUCACUGGGAAUAUCGAUGCCGCUUUCACGUAUAAAAAUGGCAAGAGUUACUUCUUUAAGGGAUCCAAGUACUGGCGCUACAAGGGUCGUAAAAUGGACGGCGACUACCCCAAAGAGAUCAGCGAAGGGUUCACCGGUAUCCCGAACAACCUGGACACCGCAAUGGUCUGGAGCGGUAACGGUAAGAUCUACUUCUUCAAAGGCAGCAAGUUCUGGAGAUUCGACCCGUCACAACGUCCCCCCGUGAAGAGCACUUACCCCAAACCCACCUCCAAUUGGGAGGGCGUGCCUGAGAAUAUGGACGCCGCCUUCCAAUGGACCAACGGGUACACUUACUUUUAUAAGGGUGGCGCUUACUAUAGGUUUAACGAUCGAGCUUUCGCCGUUGAUCAAACGGUACCGGCCUUCCCACGUUCGACCGCUUUUUGGUGGUUCGGUUGUAAGGACGCCCCCCAAGGCACCAUCGGCACAAGUGAGUCUAGAGGAUGGUUACAAGGUGAGGAGGGCAGUACCUCACCUUUCGACGAACAAAACGGAGGAUACGAUAUGGACGCAGUCGUAAACCGUAUCCUACGGUCAGUGUUGCUAAAACGUCGUGGCUACUACAUUCCAGAAAGCUACCGUAGACCGCCAGGCAGACUGUAGACUCUCCCCCCCCACCUCACUCAUCAUUGGUGGACCUCGCAGUUUUUGGAAUUCAUUUUUUCGCCCUCUAAGUGUUUACCAUGAGGAUUCUCCGGCAGACCCUCCUCUAGGUCCCAACCAUCUAAAAAGCGACAACGCUGGACAAAGUAGUUCCUCAAUCAACCUGUCAACGGUCUACCACUUGGUACCAACACUGGUGGCCACCCUGGC